Molecule: ribosomal RNA, 253 nt
Filed under: uncultured bacterium
Lineage: Bacteria
Description: partial 16S ribosomal RNA
Rfam family: Bacterial small subunit ribosomal RNA
Source: RNAcentral
UACGUAGGUGGCAAGCGUUGUCCGGAUUUACUGGGUGUAAAGGGCGUGUAGCCGGGUGUGCAAGUCAGAUGUGAAAUCUGGAGGCUCAACCUCCAAACUGCAUUUGAAACUGUGCAUCUUGAGUAUCGGAGAGGUAACCGGAAUUCCUAGUGUAGCGGUGAAAUGCGUAGAUAUUAGGAAGAACACCAGUGGCGAAGGCGGGUUACUGGACGACAACUGACGGUGAGGCGCGAAAGCGUGGGGAGCAAACAGG